GGCGGAGAGCGAGGCGCUGGCCAUGAGGAAGCAGGCCCAGGGGCUGACCCAGGAGUACGACCGGCUGCUGGAGGAACACGGCAAACUGCAGAUGCUGCGGGAGGGACCGAAGGACAAGAAGGAGGAGUGAUGGCUCUUCCCCUCCCCCCCUUCUGGCUGCCUGUGUUGCUUUCAGUGGGUGGGGCCUCUCUUGGACCACGCCCCCUGCUCUACAGUGGGUGGAGCCUACAGUAUUCAGUGGGGGGGGCUCGGCUCCCCUCCCCCAAUGGGGCUCUGACCUUCCCCCUCUGCUCCCAGGAGGUGGGGCUGCUGUGCUCACCCCCAUCACUGGGCUGGGCCUAUUCCAAGCAGGGGUGUCAGAGCCCCUGUGCCUCAGUUUCCCCUCUGUGUGAUCUGCUCUUUCUGCCUUUCCUGGGCUGGGGGACCCCUGGAUUCCCCAUUGAAUCACAAGGUUUGUGGGGAGUCGCGAUUCCCCCCCAGCUGUUCCCCUUGCUUGUAAGCCCUGUGUUUGCGGGGGGCCCAGCUGCUGUGACCCCCCCUGCGCCAGGGCCGGUUCUGUUACUGGCACCGGGUCUGUAGCGAUGUGAGCUGCGGCUUCAAUAAAGGGUCAGACA
This is a long non-coding RNA of Terrapene triunguis (Three-toed box turtle), 614 nucleotides long. RefSeq lists it as uncharacterized. The record is from RefSeq and is a predicted model, not a curated record. Lineage: Eukaryota; Metazoa; Chordata; Testudines; Emydidae. The transcript has 2 exons.